ACAACUUCGACCAAAGAAAAAUAAAGAAAAAUACUACAUCAUUCAGGGCAUAUGGGCAUUGUUUACAUAUGUAGGACCCAAACAUAUUGUCAUGUGUGUGUGUGUGUCAAUUUUACACUGAAACACGAUACGGAAAACAAGUUAAUGUUGCGAAUUGGAGAUUUUGAAUUGGAGAUUUUGUUGCAUCUGCCAUUGCUGUGUGAUUGUGAAGACAAAAACGUUCCAUGUCAUAUGUGUUUGUCCGUUCAAAGCAAGCACUUGGACAUGCUUUGGAGUCUCCCGUUCUGUUAUUGCAGCAUGUUCUGUGACUGUACAUGAGGGAUCAUAACUGAAACCACAGAUUCAGCCUUUACUACAAGAAAUUGAAAAACUUCUCGUUUGAUCUCUCUUGAGGGACAAUGCUGUGAUUGAAAAUACAAUUGCCAUUUGGCUGUUCAUUGUCUAAAAUCUCAUCUUUUACAUUAAUCUAUCAGGUUCUCCAUUCCAUUUUGUAGAUUUUGAUAUAGAAUGUUCAUUUCAAUCCACAACAAAUAUGUACAGCAUAUCGGUUUGUUGUUAAAACUAUUACAUUCAAGAGUUAACCCAUAGAGUUCCUUCUGUGUGAAUUAUUAGACGUGCACUACUUGUUUAAUACAAUUUUUAAAUGUUUA
Molecule: long non-coding RNA, 650 nt
Filed under: Daphnia pulex (common water flea)
Lineage: Eukaryota; Metazoa; Arthropoda; Branchiopoda; Diplostraca; Daphniidae
Description: uncharacterized LOC124195020
Source: RNAcentral